Molecule: long non-coding RNA, 4863 nt
Filed under: Heterocephalus glaber (naked mole-rat)
Lineage: Eukaryota; Metazoa; Chordata; Mammalia; Rodentia; Bathyergidae
Description: lncRNA (ENSHGLG00000041193.1)
Source: RNAcentral
GUAAGCUCCCACCUCCACCCACCCCUGCACUCUGAGCAUGAGAGGUGGCCUGUGCACCCAUAACUCAACCUGACUUUUACUUUCUGCAUAUUUUUGCAAUGUAUUGGACAUUAGCAGGGGUGGGUCAGUUCUGCCACUGCAUUAACCUUGGUCCUAUUUCUUCCACUGCCUCAUCUGCAGAUCUUGUUUUGUGUCAACAUUGUAUAGGUGAGGAAUUGGAGAGACUCACCCCUUCUUGGUGGUAAGAUUUCCUGUCCUGCCCCUGACUUAAUAGCCCCACCAGUUGGAGCUUGAGGGUUUAACAUGUGCCAAGUUCCUGCGGUGGGAGGCAGUUAGUUUAGAGGGCAAGCUGUUUGUGCUAUUUAAUAAGAUUGGAGAGGCUGGUGGGAGCGACUCUUCAGCAGCUGAAAGCCAAAGAAAAGAAUUGGUAUAUCCCAAGAGCAAUGAGAAAUCAAAUAAACAACUUCAGAGAACGAAUGUUCCCGGACCCACCGUCGAUAGAACAAUCCAUCAAGGUGUCUGCUGACCACCAGUACGUGACGGUCGACCACUAACCUUUGUUCCUUUUUUUGUACAUCUACAUGUUAACCUCCCCCUCAACCCCCUAUAAAACAGCCUCGGACUCUGAGCCAGUUGCCUCUCUUAGCUAUUUUGCUUUGGGAGUGCCGUCUGGCCAGACUAAUAAAGGUCUGUUUUAUUUUCCAACUUGUCCGGUGUGUUCCUUCCCGGGUGUUCAUCGCUGCAGUCAGCUCCUCAGAGCGUUUGGUUCUCACAACCGUCACUCCUGUCCGACGCCUCGUUCCUGUACAACAUGGAGCCCAUGGGCCUUGAGGGUCCCUGAGCGCUCUGCCAGUGGCCUCUGCUGGGUUCCCUAGCGCUGCUGCUACAGCCGGUAACCUGUGCCCAAGCCACACCGGGCACCCUCAGCACCACGACCACACCAGACACCACUGGCUCUGAGACCACACUUCCAGGGUCCUGGGGCUACGAGAACGUGCUCAGGCCCUGAUGCGGGACUUCCCACUGGUGGGUGUGUAGGUGUCAUGUGGGGACAAAUGGGGGUUCCAAUGGGCAGAAGAGGGUUCCAAGCAUGCAGGGCUAUCAUGUAAGACCGAGGGCCUUACCAAACGCUCCGAGGAGCUGACUGCAGCGAAGAACACCCGGGGAUCCCAGCGGGGCCUAGGGGCCUCCAAAAUGUAAGACCGAGGGCCUUACCAAACGCUCCGAGGAGCUGACUGCAGCGAAGAACACCCGGGAAGGAACACACUGAACAUGUUGGAAAGUAAAACAGACCUUAGUCUGGCCAGACGGCACUCCCAAAGCAAAGUAGCUUAGAGAGGCGACUAGCCCAGAGUCCGAGGCUCUUUUUAUAGGGGGUUGCAGGGGAAGUUAACAGGCGAAAUUUACAGAAGAGGAACAAAGGUUAGUGGUCAGCUGACACGUACUGAUGCUCAGCAGAUGUUUGUAGAUUGUUCUAUAGAUAGCGGUGUCCGGAACAUCAGUUUCGAACAAAGAGUUGAGUAAUUUACUUUGGGACCUUAUGGCUGAUACAGAUCUUAUCUAGUGUCCCUGAACUAACAAGCAUCUUUAUCUAUUUACUCACAUUUACAGUUGGGGCUAGGGGAGUUUUAUGAUUACAGAGUUAUGCAGUCCCACAAUCAAGGAGGCUCUUUCACACUACCCUCGGAUGCCCCGUCUCCCAUUAUCCACAGGUACCCUUCCCCAGCUCUAGUGCUGCCUCUCCAGUGGGAACCCUCCCAGCCCUGGCCUCAGGGCAUCUCAGUAUAGUCUGGGUGACAGUGUGGAGUGGGGGUCCCCGGGGAUGUGUCUUGCCAGACCUGGAAGCCUAAAAGGGCCCGCCCACUUGUCCUUGACCUUGACCCUGCCUUAACAUCCUUCCAGCCACAAAGACCUGCCCUUGGUCCUGAGGCAAUUUUACCAGGAUUCACUACAGAAUGUCAACCUUCGCAAUUUCAGCCAUGGCCAGACCAGCCUAGACAAGCUUAGAGAUGGCCUCGUGGGUGCUCAGGUACUACAGGGACACAGAGGGUGACUGUGGUUAGCCACAGGGAACUCACUUACCAUAAUAAUGACCCGAAAAGAUGCUGGACCAGCGAGGGCUACAGCCAGCUGGCUUGGUGGGCAGGACAGUACUAUAGAACCAGCAAUGCAUUACAUGUGGCCUCCAGGCCCACUGGGUGCUGUGGCAGCUGUGGAGGCCCCAGGAAUUCCAAAAUAGCCCCUGCCAGGCCAACCCCUGACUUUCCCCCCAGUUCUGGUCAGCCUACGUCCCAUGUCAGACCCAGAACUGGGAUGCUGUGCACCUCACCCUGGAGCAGAUAGACCUCAUCUGCCACAUGUGUGCCUCCUACUCUGAGCGGGAGCUGGUGACCUCAGCUGAAGCUCUGAACAGCACCCAGAAAUUGGCCUGCCUCAUUGGUGUGGAGGGUAGCCACUCGCUGGACAGUAGCCUCUCCAUCCUGCAUACCUUCUAUGUGCUGGGAGUGCGCUACCUCAUGCUUACACACACCUGCAACACACCCUGAUGUCUGCAUAUGCAUCCCUGACACCCUCCUCCCAACCUGUCCCUGCAGAAGGUGGUAACAGAAAUGAAUUGCCUGGGCAUGAUGGUAGACUUGUCUCAUGUUUCUGAUCCUGUGGCCCGGAGGGCCUUGGAAGUGUCACAGGCACCUGUGAUCUCCUCAAACUCAGCUGUCCAAGGUAUGUGCAACAACACUCGGAAUGUUCCUGAUGACAUCCUGCAGCUUCUGGUGAGAAACUGCCCAGCCUCAGAACCUAAAGCAAGAGUUUCAAACUUGAGCUCCUGUUCCCUUGACUUCCUCAGACCCCCAGCUAAACAUCUUCUGCCCCACAAACCCACAGUGCUGAACCCUUGAAUCCAGUGGGUGUAAGGAGGUGGUUCUAGAUGAUAAAUAUUUCUCUACCUCUCAAACCCAAAGCCAAACACCUCCAACCUGGCCUGAGACUCCCCUAUUCACACAAACUCAGAAAGGUGAAAUAUCUCCUGGCUUCCAAAAUCAGGGCUCACAUGGCUCUGGGGGUAGGCAAGGACCCAAGAUGAGUGUUCAUUUGACUAUUCCUGCAGGAGAAGAACGGUGGCAUUGUGAUAGUGUCCUUGUCUGUAGGGGUGCUGCAGUGCAACCUGUUAGCCAAUGUGUCCACUGUAGCAGGUGAGCCCUCGUGCUCUCUGAACAGCUCUGAUUUGGACCUGAAGCUUUGGUGGGGGGGUCUCGGCACAGCUCCAGGAGUCUGACCAAAAAUCUCAUGAUGGACAGACAUUACAGAGCACCUUGGUGUUAUGUAGAACCAGAGCCACAGAGUCCACAUCGCCACGCUGAUGGGGAUGGGAAAGGAGCCAGAUAUAGAGCUGAGUGCUGACCCCGUGUGCCCCCUAGGGGGCUACCAAAGCACCCUACCUCCGCCUUAGGUCUCUGGAGUCUGUCAGCUGCACUUUUUAUCCCUCUUUCGUCUUCCACACAACUGGAAAGAGGCCCUACUAAGUUCCCAAAGAGACUGAAGGCAGGGUGAAUCUGGAGGGGAAAUGACCCCAAUGGCUGUCAUUCUAAAUGGGCUCACUCCAGACUUGAAGUCCAGUCUAGAGCUAGCUGGGAUCAGUUAAAGACAAACCUCAGAGACUUCAGAUAGCCACACAAGGCAUGGGCAAUGAAGGAACUGGCCUGCUGGGUACAAGCAGAGUCCAGAUUGAGGGCACCCCUGUCCAAGAAACCCCAUACUACUCUCCAUCUCCCAGAUCACUUUGACCACAUCAAAGCAGUUAUCGGGUCCAAAUUCAUCGGGAUUGGUGGAGAUUAUGAUGGCACCAGCCAGUGAGUACUGCCCUGUGGCUUAUCUGGGGCUGCUUUGAAGGCACCACCCACCCUACCAUGGUCCUCAUAGCCUUUAGACCUUAGCCACCCAGCAUCUCCCAUUCUCAGGGUCUGUUUCCUCCAAUCUCCUGUCUGCCUUCAGCCCAGUCUCCCUACUCUAAGGCAUCAUAUUUAGCCAAGCCACCAGACAACUCAUCUGCCCAGUCCAUGCACCCAGCCCAGCCCCAGCAGAUUGUCAACAAUGUCUGGUGUAAGCUGACCAUCUUCUCUGCCCAGUUCUGAAGAUGGAGGGGAGGUGCAUUCAGCGGAAGGUAUAGAUCUUAAAAGUGCAGUUCAGUGACUUUUGGCAAAUAUUCAAGGAGGUUUUGGAGCCUCCUCUGAAGGGUGCAGAGCAGGGGCAAAUCACUUGCUGUCUCCAAGUCUCCAGUUCACACAUCUGACGGGGGCUGGAGUACAAACCACCAGGACACACAGGGCUGGGACUCUGAGUUGGGAUCAGGGUACCAACUCAGAGAACCAUCUGCUGGUGGCCACACAGGUUCCCUGAGGGGCUGGAGGAUGUGUCCACAUACCCUGUGCUGAUAGAGGAGCUGCUGAGUCGGGGCUGGAGUGAGGAGGAGCUUCAAGGUGUGCUUUGAGGAAACCUGCUUCGGGUCUUCAGGCGAGUGGAGCAGGUUGGGGAGGAAAACAAGUGGCAAAGCCCACUGGAGGAUAAGGUCCCAGAGGAACAGCUGGACAGGGGUUGCCGCUCUAUCCUCCCACAUCAGCAUCAGAGACCACAACUGGUUCCAAACCAGACUCCAACCAAAAGCCCAUCACAUCUAGCGCCUAUGUUAUCUCACAGGUGGUCAUCCUCAAAAUCUUCCCCCAGCCUGGUCUCAGGCCUCACAGUGGUUACCAUUUUCUGACCCAGUUAGCCCUGCCAGAUGUCACUUUGGCAGCCUUGGACAGCCCACAAAGGUCCCUCCUUGUGCAGAUACAAACAUUUCCUGGAAAUAAAUGUUUUGGACAUGGA